Pyrgilauda ruficollis (rufous-necked snowfinch) is the source of this 847-nucleotide long non-coding RNA. RefSeq lists it as uncharacterized. The transcript has 2 exons. The record is from RefSeq and is a predicted model, not a curated record. NCBI's taxonomy places the organism in Eukaryota, Metazoa, Chordata, Aves, Passeriformes, Passeridae.
GUUAAUGCAGACCAGAAAAACCCGCACUUCUGAGAUGAAUUUUGAUAAUUCUGGCGUUUAAAAACCCGGCGCCCGGGAGGCGCCGGAGCAGCGCCGGCCACAGGAGCGGGGUCGGGGCGCCCACGGCGGGGCCGCCUCGGGUUCGGCCCGGCGCGCCCGCCCCUCACAGAGCUCACGGUCCGGUCCCGGGUUAAAGCCCGCGGUCACACGGCCCCGGGCUGUCUUUCACACACCGCCUGACGGUAACGCGGCAGCGCGGGCGCUCCGGGGCCGCGGGGGCCGUGAGGGGGGAACCCCCGCGCCAUUUCACGGCGCUCCGCCGCCUCACGAGCCGCCGGGUGCCCCCGGCCCCGCGGGGCUCCCCCGGCCCGGCCCGGCCCCCGCCCCCGGCGGCGUGAGGGGCGCCGGGCCCGGCGCGGCGCGAGGCGGGAGCGCUAAGAUGGCUGCGGCGGCGGCGGCGCGGGCGGCCCGUACCUGUUUUCUCCUUGAUCUCGCAGAGGACGCUGAACAGGGCGGGUUUCAUCCUGUGGCAGUUCAGGGCGUGUUUCCUGCAAGAGAGCACAGGACAAGCGCAAUAUUUGGUCAGAUUUAUAAUUCAUCUGCUGCCACUUUGAGACAAGAAAAGAAAGAAAGAGGCAAAGUUGUACUUUGAGGGACGGCCGGACAGACAGACGGAUGGACGGCGGCGCAAAGGCCGGAAUCCACCGGACAGCGUCCAGCGGCCGCGGGCAGGGACCAGCCACAGCCUCCCGCGCACCACGGCAGAACCAUCGCAUACUUCUACAUUUAUCAUAUCUAUUGUUUUUUUGUUAAGGAAAGAAAUCAUUAAAUAGCAACUUGGCUCUGC